CUUGGUCAGGUUGAAGUUCAGGUAACACUGAAUGGAGGACCGAACCGACUUACGUUGAAAAGUGAGCGGAUGAACUGAGGGUAGCGGAGAAAUUCCAAUCGAACCUGGAGAUAGCUGGUUCUCUCCGAAAUAGCUUUAGGGCUAGCCUCAAGUGAUGAUUAUUGGAGGUAGAGCACUGUUUGGACGAGGGGCCCCUCUCGGGUUACCGAAUUCAGACAAACUCCGAAUGCCAAUUAAUUUAACUUGGGAGUCAGAACAUGGGUGAUAAGGUCCGUGUUCGAAAGGGAAACAGCCCAGACCACCAGCUAAGGUCCCAAAAUAUAUGUUAAGUGGAAAAGGAUGUGGCGUUGCCCAGACAACUAGGAUGUUGGCUUAGAAGCAGCCAUCAUUUAAAGAGUGCGUAAUAGCUCACUAGUCGAGUGACACUGCGCCGAAAAUGUACCGGGGCUAAACAUAUUACCGAAGCUGUGGAUUGUCCUUUGGACAAUGGUAGGAGAGCGUUCUAAGGGCGUUGAAGCAUGAUCGUAAGGACAUGUGGAGCGCUUAGAAGUGAGAAUGCCGGUGUGAGUAGCGAAAGACGGGUGAGAAUCCCGUCCACCGAUUGACUAAGGUUUCCAGAGGAAGGCUCGUCCGCUCUGGGUUAGUCGGGUCCUAAGCUGAGGCCGACAGGCGUAGGCGAUGGAUAACAGGUUGAUAUUCCUGUACCACCUAUAAUCGUUUUAAUCGAUGGGGGGACGCAGUAGGAUAGGCGAAGCGUGCGAUUGGAUUGCACGUCUAAGCAGUAAGGCUGAGUAUUAGGCAAAUCCGGUACUCGUUAAGGCUGAGCUGUGAUGGGGAGAAGACAUUGAGUCUUCGAGUCGUUGAUUUCACACUGCCGAGAAAAGCCUCUAGAUAGAAAAUAGGUGCCCGUACCGCAAACCGACACAGGUAGUCAAGAUGAGAAUUCUAAGGUGAGCGAGCGAACUCUCGUUAAGGAACUCGGCAAAAUGACCCCGUAACUUCGGGAGAAGGGGUGCUCUUUAGGGUUAACGCCCAGAAGAGCCGCAGUGAAUAGGCCCAAGCGACUGUUUAUCAAAAACACAGGUCUCUGCUAAACCGUAAGGUGAUGUAUAGGGGCUGACGCCUGCCCGGUGCUGGAAGGUUAAGAGGAGUGGUUAGCUUCUGCGAAGCUACGAAUCGAAGCCCCAGUAAACGGCGGCCGUAACUAUAACGGUCCUAAGGUAGCGAAAUUCCUUGUCGGGUAAGUUCCGACCCGCACGAAAGGCGUAACGAUUUGGGCACUGUCUCAACGAGAGACUCGGUGAAAUCAUAGUACCUGUGAAGAUGCAGGUUACCCGCGACAGGACGGAAAGACCCCGUGGAGCUUUACUGUAGCCUGAUAUUGAAAUUCGGCACAGCUUGUACAGGAUAGGUAGGAGCCUUUGAAACGUGAGCGCUAGCUUACGUGGAGGCGCUGGUGGGAUACUACCCUAGCUGUGUUGGCUUUCUAACCCGCACCACUUAUCGUGGUGGGAGACAGUGUCAAGCGGGCAGUUUGACUGGGGCGGUCGCCUCCUAAAAGGUAACGGAGGCGCUCAAAGGUUCCCUCAGAAUGGUUGGAAAUCAUUCAUAGAGUGUAAAGGCAUAAGGGAGCUUGACUGCGAGACCUACAAGUCGAGCAGGGUCGAAAGACGGACUUAGUGAUCCGGUGGUUCCGCAUGGAAGGGCCAUCGCUCAACGGAUAAAAGCUACCCCGGGGAUAACAGGCUUAUCUCCCCCAAGAGUUCACAUCGACGGGGAGGUUUGGCACCUCGAUGUCGGCUCAUCGCAUCCUGGGGCUGUAGUCGGUCCCAAGGGUUGGGCUGUUCGCCCAUUAAAGCGGUACGCGAGCUGGGUUCAGAACGUCGUGAGACAGUUCGGUCCCUAUCCGUCGUGGGCGUAGGAAAUUUGAGAGGAGCUGUCCUUAGUACGAGAGGACCGGGAUGGACAUACCUCUGGUGUACCAGUUGUCGUGCCAACGGCAUAGCUGGGUAGCUAUGUGUGGACGGGAUAAGUGCUGAAAGCAUCUAAGCAUGAAGCCCCCCUCAAGAUGAGAUUUCCCAACUUCGGUUAUAAGAUCCCUCAAAGAUGAUGAGGUUAAUAGGUUCGAGGUGGAAGCAUGGUGACAUGUGGAGCUGACGAAUACUAAUCGAUCGAAGACUUAAUCAA
Molecule: ribosomal RNA, 2187 nt
Filed under: Staphylococcus aureus M0432
Lineage: Bacteria; Bacillati; Bacillota; Bacilli; Caryophanales; Staphylococcaceae
Description: bacterial LSU rRNA
Rfam family: Bacterial large subunit ribosomal RNA
Source: RNAcentral